This 254-nucleotide ribosomal RNA is filed under the name uncultured bacterium. RNAcentral's name for it is "partial 16S ribosomal RNA". It matches the Rfam family "Bacterial small subunit ribosomal RNA", at positions 524 to 777 of the family's 1533-position model. The record is from RNAcentral.
UACGAAGGGGGCUAGCGUUGUUCGGAAUUACUGGGCGUAAAGCGUGCGCAGGCGGUGAUGUAAGACAGUUGUGAAAUCCCCGGGCUCAACCUGGGAACUGCAUCUGUGACUGCAUCGCUGGAGUGCGGCAGAGGGGGAUGGAAUUCCGCGUGUAGCAGUGAAAUGCGUAGAUAUGCGGAGGAACACCGAUGGCGAAGGCAAUCCCCUGGGCCUGCACUGACGCUCAUGCACGAAAGCGUGGGGAGCAAACAGGA